GUCCUUUUGAUUUUUAUAUAAGGUCUGACCUGCCCUAUGAAUAUUUAAAUGGCCGCGGUAUACUAACCGUGCAAAGGUAGCAUAGUCAUUUGUCUUUUAAUUGGAGGCUUGAAUGAAGGGUUGGACGAGAUAUAAGCUUUCUUUGUUAUAUUUUAUUGAAUUUGACUUUUGAGUUAAAAGGCUUAAAUUUUUUUAUAGGACGAGAAGACCCUAUAGAAUUUUAUAUAUUUGUAUAAUUGAUUUAUUUAUUUAUUAUUUAAUUUCUUGUUUAAAUAUAUUUUGUUGGGGCGAUGGGAAGAUUUUAAUAACUCUUUUUUGUUUUGAUCAUUGAUUUAUGUUUUAUUCUGAUCCUUUUUUAGAGAUUAUAAGAUUAAAUUACCUUAGGGAUAACAGCGUAAUUCUUUUGGAGAGUUCUUAUCGAUAAAAGAGUUUGCGA
RNAcentral lists this ribosomal RNA (436 nucleotides) under Appasus japonicus. RNAcentral's name for it is "partial 16S rRNA". The record is from RNAcentral. Lineage: Eukaryota; Metazoa; Arthropoda; Insecta; Hemiptera; Belostomatidae.